Long non-coding RNA from Sphaerodactylus townsendi, 158 nucleotides. RefSeq lists it as uncharacterized. The transcript has 3 exons. The record is from RefSeq and is a predicted model, not a curated record. NCBI's taxonomy places the organism in Eukaryota, Metazoa, Chordata, Lepidosauria, Squamata, Sphaerodactylidae.
UGGCUCCCCUCCUCCACCCCCUGGGGGGCGUCAGGCUGCCUCCAAAAACCUCCCUCCUGGAGGGAAGUUUUUGGAAAACAGCGCAUUCCCGGCGGCAUGGUGCGAACGGCACCGCUGGGAACACGCUAUUUUCCCCGUCCCUCUCCCACUCACCUCUU